This 256-nucleotide ribosomal RNA is filed under the name uncultured bacterium. RNAcentral's name for it is "partial 16S ribosomal RNA". It matches the Rfam family "Bacterial small subunit ribosomal RNA", at positions 524 to 776 of the family's 1533-position model. The record is from RNAcentral.
UACGUAGGGAGCAAGCGUUGUCCGGAAUCAUUGGGCGUAAAGCGCGCGUAGGUGGUCCCGUAAGUCCGCUGUGAAAGUCAAAGGCUCAACCUUUGAAAGCCGGUGGAUACUGUGGGACUAGAGUACGGAAGAGGCGAGUGGAAUUCCUGGUGUAGCGGUGGAAUGCGCAGAUAUCAGGAGGAACACCAAUAGCGAAGGCAGCUCGCUGGGACGUUACUGACACUGGAGGCGCGAAAAGCGUGGGGGAGCGAACAGG